UACGAAGGGGGCUAGCGUUGCUCGGAAUUAUUGGGCGUAAAGCGCACGUAGGCGGCUUAGCAAGUCGGAUGUGAAAGCCCUCGGCUCAACCAAGGAAGUGCAUCCGAAACUGCUGAGCUUGAGUACUUAAGAGGAUCGCGGAAUUCCCGGUGUAGAGGUGAAAUUCGUAGAUAUCGGGAGGAACACCAGUGGCGAAGGCGGCUACCUGGACCAGCACUGACACUGAGGCACGAAAGCGUGGGGAGCAAACAGG
Molecule: ribosomal RNA, 253 nt
Filed under: uncultured bacterium
Lineage: Bacteria
Description: partial 16S ribosomal RNA
Rfam family: Bacterial small subunit ribosomal RNA
Source: RNAcentral